GUGUAUUCUAGUUGUAGGUCCUUCUGGUUGUGUCUGCAUUGUUAAAAUGUGAAUGAUAACACUGCCUGCUGCAUGAAAAGCACUUGUGAAGCAUUAAUAGAAUUCCUGACCCCUGUGUUUUGAGGUGGGUGCUCCUGGAGUGGAAAGCGGCUCAUUCAACUGUGAAGACUUCUCUGCUUAAAGAUAUUCACUCACCUCCAUACGCUGCCAGUUAUCAGACUUUAGGGUGUCUAAGAAUCAAAGGGGCUUGUUUAAAAUGCGGAUGCCUGGAGCUGAGCAGGAGUGGUUCUGAUUCUGAGACGAGCGGGAUCCAGAACCCUGUCAUUUUAACGGGCACCCAGGUGAUUCUAAUGCAGAUGAUUCAAAGGUCACGCCUUAAAGAGAAGUGAACUAGUGACACUUAAAAGACACCACACGGAGAGUUAGGGCUAUAGUCAUUUAUAUUUAACGUGAAUAAUUCAAUCAGAUUGCUUUCCUAUCAAUCCCUCUAACCAGCCAUUCUGGAGGGAAGAACGUUUCUCAUAGCUUGGGGAGAGGGGAGCAGUUUCGGUCCUUAGACACACCUGGAGAACAUAAGCUCUCGUCGCUGCACCUCCGACAGCCAGAGGCAUCUGCAGGCCAGGAGGGAUGCAAUGGUGGAGGUGGACGUCGUGAAAGACAGAGGAUGGCUAACUUGUAGUGAUCCCUGGGAUCGGCUUUAUGGCAAAGACCACCCUUUAUGCCACUAAAAAUCAUUCUGAGUCCUUUUGGUUGACAAUGGCUGUUUCAUCUUAAUGAGAGCACUCUCUAAGUUUUUUUAUAAUGUUUUUUCAGAUGUUUAGUAUGACUUCUUAAGCGAAGAUACCAUCCUAGUUUAUUUUUUGUGGUCUGUCUUCCUGUAGGCAGCACUUUCUUAAUAUUGAGGCUGAAUUCUCAAGAUCCCUCUGGCUUUGGAUGUCAGAAGUUCCCCUGUUUCCCAAAGUCCAGACUUUGGAAUUUGCUUGGAAAAGGGAUAUUUGUGGCACCAUAUUGUCCCCCCAGAAUGCCUACAUUGAAGCAUGUCCACUCUGAAUUUGUGACUCUUGGGUCCCAUGGCAACUCCAGCGCCAAUUGGCUGUGAAAGGGGAUUAACACCCAGGACAAGCUUUCUCCGAGUUGACGUGAACCAAAGCCUACUAUGGCAGCUAAUGGCUGCGUCCGCGUGGCAUACGGAGGUUAUCCCAUGGCGGUCUUCCUGAGAGCAGCUU
This 1226-nucleotide long non-coding RNA is filed under the name Equus caballus (horse). Its description in RNAcentral is "lncRNA (ENSECAG00000046306.1)". Lineage: Eukaryota; Metazoa; Chordata; Mammalia; Perissodactyla; Equidae. The record is from RNAcentral.